Molecule: RNA transcript, 8437 nt
Organism: Limulus polyphemus (Atlantic horseshoe crab)
Lineage: Eukaryota; Metazoa; Arthropoda; Merostomata; Xiphosura; Limulidae
Gene name: dual specificity tyrosine-phosphorylation-regulated kinase 2-like
Exons: 2
Source: RefSeq, a predicted model, not a curated record
GCACCUUUGUAGUUGUAGCUUAACUGGAGUAGAAGUUCUUGAUAGUGAACUAAUGAUGGGAAGAAAGCAUUGUAACAAGUUUCUUUUCUUUAUUAAUUUAUGCUGUUGAAUAUAUCUUUUAAUGCAUUGCCAAAAACUACAAUGUCAUCAAAAAAAGUUAUUGGAUCUGCAUUUUCCAUGCUAGCAAAAACUAGCUACUUUAUAUUUAACGUUAGGCUUAGGGCAUGUGUACAAGCUCAAGAGUAAAAUUAAAAUUUAAUCCAGACAAACAUGCCACUCUCACGUACAAGAUCAUUAAUUGCCAACAUCAAUGGUUCAUCCACCACAUCGACAAAUGAUUCUUUUCUUCCUCGUAUCCCAGAAAAUAAUUCUAAUGUCAACUUGCCACCUAUUAAGAGCCAGACGAUUGGAGGAUUUAAGUCCGUUUAUCAAGAUACUAUACAAGUUCAACAGUUGUUUCAACCGCUUUCUGUUUCAAACAGGGCUCAAACGUUAACUAGCGACAGCAGCAAUGCAAGGACAUCAGUCACUCAACUACCUGAGGUCUGUCCUACAACAUACGCAGACACUAAAUUUAGUGGUACCAGUAAUAACAAGAGUGCGUCUUCAAAACCAAAGAUUCUUGUGGCUACUCCAGAACAGGUAAUGAAGUUAUAUAUGCAUAAACUAACUCCGUACGAACACCAUGAAAUUUUUAGCUAUCCUAAAAUUUAUUUUAUUGGUGCAAAUGCAAAAAAGAGGCAAGGGGCCAUUGGAACUUCCAAUAACUGUGGAUAUGAUGAUGAUCAGGGAUCAUACCUACAUGUACCUCAUGACCACAUAGCUUAUAGGUAUGAAAUGCUUAAAAUUAUUGGAAAAGGAAGUUUUGGUCAAGUUAUCAAAGCUUAUGAUCAUAAAGAUCAUCAACAAGUAGCUUUGAAAAUGGUUCGUAAUGAGAAACGUUUCCACCGACAGGCACAAGAAGAAAUUCGUAUACUGGACCAUUUAAAAAAACAAGACAAGGACAAUAAUCGUAAUAUAGUACAUAUGCUAGAAAAUUUCACAUUCCGAAAUCACACCUGUAUAACUUUUGAGUUACUUAGUAUUAACUUAUAUGAACUCAUUAAGAAAAAUAAAUUUCAAGGAUUUAGUUUGCAGCUUGUUCGAAAAUUUGCACAUUCUCUAUUGCAGUGUUUGGAUACCUUAUAUCGAAACAAAAUCAUACACUGUGACUUAAAACCAGAAAAUGUGUUGCUAAAACAGCAGGGGCGUAGUGGAAUAAAAGUGAUAGAUUUUGGUUCAAGUUGUUAUGAGCAUCAACGUGUGUAUACCUACAUCCAGUCCAGAUUUUACAGAGCACCAGAAGUGAUCCUAGGGGCUAAGUAUGGCAUGCCAAUAGAUAUGUGGAGUUUAGGAUGUAUUCUUGCUGAACUUUUAACAGGCUAUCCUCUUCUCCCAGGAGAAGAUGAAGGAGACCAACUUGCUUGUAUGAUUGAACUGCUUGGUAUGCCACCUCAAAAACUUCUGGACCAAUCAAAACGAUCAAAGAAUUUUAUCAGCUCUAAAGGUUAUCCUCGGUACUGUAGCACAACAGCGCUGCCUGAUGGCACAGUUGUAUUAAAUGGCGGUCGGUCUCGGAGAGGAAAGAUGCGUGGUCCACCUGGGAGUAAGGAAUGGGUGACAGCAUUAAAAGGAUCUGAUGAUCAUCUCUUCAUUGACUUCUUAAAACGGUGUUUAGAAUGGGAUCCAGUUUCAAGAAUGACACCAGCAACUGCUCUACGACAUGAAUGGCUUCGACGUCGUCUCUCAAAACCUCCACAAAUUCCUAUGGAUAAUGAAGCUGUUGAUAUACAGUCUUCUAACCAGACCAAUACUUUGGGAGGAAUUAAUAGAAGCAGCUUAAUCACACAUGUCAGUACUAUUGGUGCUACCAAAGCUCGGACAAUGGUGGCUACUAUUGGUGAUGAAAUUUCUGGUACUAUGGGUACCCAUAUCAAACUACCACAGAUUAGUAACACAGUGACUUGAUGAUAUCCUAUCUGUAGACUUAGUUCAUGUAAGUCAUAGAAUGCGUAUGUGCCGUCCUGUGAACAAAAAUAAUUUUAUCUUACUGGCUAAUGGUCAAAAUGGUUGAAGGGUAUAUAACUGGCAUAUUUCUUGAGUUUCUCAAGCAAGGUACUGUACAUAUGUACCAGAAGGAUCUUGUAUAUAUUUUAUUGGUUGCUUUAUUUAUUAAUGUGUUUCUCUUCUUUUUUUUUUAAGUCAUGUCACUGCCACUUUCUUUUUUUUUAUCACAUGGCAAAUAUCUUUUAUUUCUGCUGUUAUUAGAAUUAUGUAACUUUUGUAAUGUAAAGACACUGCAAGAAAAGGUCAUGUAGAAAUAUCUAUUUCAUAGUGUGGUUACAUUUAAUGUGAUUUUGCUAUUUCACUUAACAGGCCUUAAAUUCCAUUUUCUGUUUUAAACGGUUUAUGACAUCAAGUAUAAGGAAAAUAUGGUAAUUAAAACAAAAUGUUUUAUGAAAUUGCUAGUACAGCAUGAAAUUCUACUGUAUAAUUAUGAGGAUCCAAAGCCACAUACUCUCUACAACUAAAUUUGAACCUUCAGUUUUUUAAAUAUGUUAUUUGAUCUGUUUUUAUCAUUAAGUGUAGGAUGGAGAAUUAAUUCUAUAAACUAAUCACUUCUGUAAAACCUUCUCCCGUGAAAUUAUUUGGUGUUUGGUAAAAAUUCUUUACUCGCCAGUUUUAAUUGCUGAAGAUUAAUAAAAUGAUUUAAACUUUAAUUAGCCCCAAAUUUGCAUUUAUUGUAUAUGUUUGUUAGUUUCCAAGAAUUUGUAGAACAGAUUUCUUCAUAAUUUGUGAGAGUUGUAUACAUAUUUGUAGCAAAUAGUCUUCAGUUGCUAAAAAUUCAUUUGCUCAUUUAAUCUUGGGAAAGUAAGUACUUUCAGUACAGAUGAUGUUUGAACCUAGUUGUAUAUGUAUAGUUCAUAACUAUGUGAGUUGUAUAACAAUUUAAACUAAUACUGAAACCUAUUUUUAUUGUGCUGUUUUUCUGUAAUGUAGCCACGUUAUAAUUAUUUUUAGAUUCGUGUAAUAUCCAUUAUUAUCUUGUAAAUAUCUUCAAUGUGGGUGGUGACAUUUACUCUCAUUAUUACAAAUUAUAUAUUAGUAAAAAGUCCAUUUUAGAUGGUAGAAGGUUCUUCUGCAUUACCCUUCAACUAUAUUACACUUAGGUCUUAACUUAUACACCUGGACUUAAUUUCCAUUACUAAAAAUAUUAGGUUUUUGCUGAAUGUUUUAAAUGUUUUGCAGAAAGGUUGAUGUAAAGAUAUAGUUGUGUGUAUUUUUGUUUUAGAAGGUUUUUUAAUAUAUGAAAAUCACUGAAAAUUUUAAAUCUAUAAUGUUUAAAAAUAUAUAAUUGGAGGAUUAUUUCCGAAACACUGUUGUGCACAUGAUGUAAUUGUUUUUUGAAAUAUAAAUAUUCAAGUAAUUCUUGGCAAUGGGAGAAAGUUUGAGAAGGCUGUCUGUCUGUGCAGUUGUUACAAAACUUGAUUUGGGAUAAGAUAACAAACUUUGUGUUAUUUACUAGGUUGUUACUUGUACAAAAUAAGCCUCACAUACUUGAGACCUGAAAUUGUAGAAAAUAAGAUUCAAAUGUUAAUACACUUCAUAUGCGAUUAGAAAAUAUACUUUUUUGCCUGAUAUAAGGUUCCUGUAAACUUCCAGUGUGGAUGGUGGUUUGCUUGUUUAUUGUUUACCACCUGUAUAUACAUGUGUGUAUAUUCUGUAAUGUCUUGAGUUCUCACCUAUUUGAUCUUUUCUUUUUUCUUUCAAUGAAGUAUUACGUGUAAAUAAACUUAACAAUUAUUCUAGUGGUGUAGUCAGGAAAAUGUGAAUUACAUCACAGUAUUUUGUGUAAGCAUAAGUAUAAAAUGUUUGCUUAGAAUGUUAGGACCAGACUAUUGCUGGAUGAAUACAAAAACUAAAAGUUUUGCAUGUAUUAUAAGGAGGAGAAAAAUGUGCAUAUAGUCAUGUUUUGCAAGCAUUUAACAAAUUUCAUUCUUAUUGUUGAAUGUAAACUUACUUGUGUGGUAAGAAAUACUUAACUUUCCUCUAAUAUUUAACUUGUUUGUCUCCUUUUCAUAUCCUAUCAUGUGUAGUUUGAUAAAGCACUUUUCACUAACUUUUUCCAAAGUCUUUCAAUGAGUUUAGGCAAUUAAAUAAUCCCGGUAACCCUUAUGUUUUCGUAUAGCCUUCUGUUACAAGAGUAACAUUUUCAAACUUCCAUUUCCACAUCAAGGACAUCAAUCUAUAGAAACACUCUCAGUAAUCAUUAAAAAUCAUCUGAUUUACUUAACUAUUGAUGUACUCACUCUUUGGAUAUUCCAUAACUAGUAUAAGAUCUCAUGUAAUUCUGACAUAAUACUUGUUUUGGGCUACAUUUGUGAACACAAAAAUAACUUAAAUAUAUAUGUAUAUAUAUAUUAUCAUGGCACCAGUGUUUGGUGGUAAUAGUACACACUUGAUCCAUCUUCCUAGUUUUUGUCAAUAUUAAUAGGUAUAGAAACAUUUAAAUUGAGAUAUUUAAAGUGAUACAUUUGAUGUCAUAGUGUCUUUCAUAGUUCUUGUAAAUUGUAGUUGGUAAAGAGUGCUAGAUGUCUUUGAGGGCCUUGGACAUAUCAUCUUUACAAUCCUGCUUUAAGUAUGAAACUAUAGACUGGCAUAUAUGUGGUAGACCAGGUUGGAAGUUUCAGGCUGAUAAUAACGGUUAUGGAGAAAACGCACAUGUUGUUUUUUGCCUUUAGAAAACCUUAUUAUUUCACAAAGUACAAGUAAUUAUAUCUUUAAGUAUGAUUCAUAAUUAGUUGUUCUUAAAGCUAGCUUAUGGCAGUUUAGAAGAGGCUAGCCUUGGUAAUACUCUAGUUAGAAGUGAUUUAAACACUGGUAGUCUGAAAGUGCUCUGUUUUUUAAUCCCACCAAAGUUAGAGGAUUUGUAACUGAACAAUUUUUUAAUGUAAGUGUUAAUAUACAUAUGUAUGUGAAACCAGUUAUAUAUUGUUAUGUAGGAAAAAGAAUCUUCCAUGAGGCUUAUUACACUUGUAAGUUGAGGAUGCUGUGUUAAUAAAGUGUCAUUUUUUGGUAUGGGUAUUAGAACUAUCCUUGUGGGAAAAGAAAAAAAUAAUAACAUACAAUUGGUAGGUACAUGUAAAUCCAAAAAUGUGUUAUUAACUUGAAAGCUUUAAAAAUUUGUAGUUCCUAAUAAUUUUGUAUAACUAGGAAUUCUUUCACUUGAAGUCUAUCCUGAAGUUGCACAAUGAAGCUCUAUACAAGUUUAAUGCACUUUUUUGAUGUGCUGUAUUGCACAUUCAAACACUUAAAAGCUUCAUUAAAUGUGCAAUUUUGCUCUUUACUUAAUCCUUAUAAUUUUAAGUGCUGAAAUGUACUAAUAUACAGUGACACUGUAUUUCAAGUGUUAAUGUUGUUGUAGACUUGUUUAUUUUUUAUCCUCUAAAAUUCUUGGUAAAUAGUUUUAUGACAUUGUGAUAAUUGUACACUUUCAUUACAAUGCUCUUUAACCAGCAUUUAUAGCAAACUGGCACUAUAUCAGUUAUUUGAUAUAUGAGUAUUUGUACUUAAAACUUCAUUACAUCACUAUGAGUAUGAUUUUAUAAUAUGGAAAUACUGUGUUUCUUAAUUUCCUGUUGAUUUGUAGAUAUUUGUCAGCUGGGUUUUAUGGUUAUUUUCUCAUCAAAUGAGUAGCAGAUUUUAAGAUAAUUACCUAUGUAUUUUACAAAAUUCACAUUUGUUCUUUGAUGUCAGCUGUAUGUUACUGAAAGGUUACCAAUAACAUUAAAUUGAUUGGUGCUUAUAUCAGAUAUAUUUUGUUAGGUUAUUUGGCUUGCAGUGGUCUUAUUAAUGUACAUUUUUCAUUGAAAUACAAACUUUUCAAAAUCUUUUACAAAUGUAUUUUUAUACUUUUAUUUACUAGUUUGUAAAUGCUUGCAAUAAUAUUUUCUGUAGUUUUUGUACACAGUUUUUCAAUUUGGUAAAUACUACAUGCAAAACCUUGAGAGGUAAACAAGAAAAUGCACUAUUUUAAAUACUCACAAAUUUUAAUACAGAGAGUAGAGAUUGAAAACUAAACUUAACUCUGACAAACUUUAACUUAAUAAUAACUUUCUCUGUAGAUGUCAUAGAGAGUGAAAUUACAAUACUGAUAAAACUAGAUUAAAUGAGAAGUGUUGAACAGCUGUGUAGUGCUACAUCUAUAGUAUACAACUGAAUGUUACCUCAUAAUCAUUUAAUUGAUAUUCUCGUCAGCUUUGAUAGCUUUCUCAAAAUGUAUGUGUUUUGCAAAUGUGUUUCUUACUGUUGUUAUUUUAUAGAAUUUUCUGUCACUACACUGAUUCAUAGAGAUGGUUUUAGUGGAAUUCUCUGUUUGUGCUAACCACCUUUUUAUUUAGGCAGUCUUUAGUCAUUCAAGAAAUCACUAUUCACUAGCCUUCUACUGUGUUUUAGAUACAGUUGAUGAAGCUGUACAGUCCCAUACUGUUACUGGAUACACAGAAGUGUGGUAUCUACAAUGCAGUUAUACAGUUUCUGGAAGCCUUGUUCAAGUGAAUUUGGUUUUUGCUGUCCCAGAAUUAGAUGGUACAAAUAAAUGUCUGUAUUUUGAUACAUACAUACAUAUGUAUGUGAAGAAAGUGGUUUAUGUGUAUUUGUGUUUUGUUUUAUUGAAAACCUUCCAUCACAGAGUAAAUCAAAAUUUGACAGGAUUUUUAUGAAAAAUAGGUAAUUGUGAAAUCCUUCAGACAAUUUGCCAUAUAUACAUUUACACGUUGAAGCCACAUUUUAAAUAUUUUUAAGAACAACUAUGGAUUUCAAGCAACGUUUCUGUCUUGCAUGUAUAGAGGGUUAAUUGCACUGUAUAAGAGUGAUUUACAUAUGCUAGUGCUGUGACAUGUCACUUCAGAUGCAAUGUGUGGCACUAUGCAUGACAUGUUUAAUACCUAUACACCAUGUGUACUGGAAACAUGUCACAGCCCUUUUCGCGACAAUGAUAUCUGUAUAGCAAGACUAUAAAUUAUGUAGUCACAGGACACAUCAUUUCAAAGAAGAGGUUCUUCAAUGUUCUAUGUGGAAAUGGAACUUACAGCAGAAUGUUUAGGGUAGUAGUACCCUCAGAAUCUAUGCCUAGGCCAGUCUGGAGAAACACUGUCACCAACAAAUUGAUGGGUAUAGUUACGAAAGUGAACCUGAAAACGAUUGCAAUGAAACUGGGCAUAUCUCUGGUACAAUUAACAAGAUAAAGAUUUGAAGUUGAUAAAGGCUCACAUGCUUUCAGCCACACCUAGUACUUAGUAGUUGUUUUCACUUUUAAAAAAAGUUCUCUGAUGCAGUGUAAUAGAAGUGUAUGCCUUUGAUGGUGGAAGCCGACAUCCAUGUACAAGGGAGGUUUAUAGAGAGCCAGUUAAGAUUGUAGUGUACCACUAGCCUCCCUGUAUUCAUUCAAACAUAGUGAGUACGAUGGAUAAAGUAGUUCCAAAGGUGGCAUAGGACCUGGAAUAUCAUUAUUAUAAAGUUUGAUUAAUUGGAAAUAUAUGUUUCAUAUUUUCAUUACAAACCAGUUUAUAUCUAUUACAAGUGAAUAUAGCAAGUUUUUAAAGUGAACAGCAUUUUUAGGCAUUGUAUUUUGUUCCUAAAUAAGUAUAAACUAUAAAAUGAUAAGACAUUUUAAGACAAAAGAUAAUAUGGUAAAAAAACAGCAACCAAAGUGUGGGUGAGCCAAAACAUUAAAAAAACUAAAAAAAAACGUGUUAUCAAAUCAUAAGACUACUAUUGCAUUCAAUGAAUCUUAGGCGUGUCAUUAAGGUGACAGACAAAUGUUUUUAAAGUGUACAUACAAAUUAAAUUUACAAUGAAAACUAAUUAUCGGACAUGAUACACUCGUUAAACCUGCGUUUUAUUCUCUGGAAAACUUAAAACAUAAGUAGUCCAGUUCUUAGUGUAAAUAAUUGUUAUGAAGAACGAAGUUCCGUAAUAAUUCUACGUUCAGUGUUGACAUGUUUUCGUGACUAUGGAGAAAAUGUUAUUGAUAAAGGAUAACAAUUAAAAAUUUGUUUUAUAAUAAAGCAUUUAUCUUUUGUUACAAAGGUUUCGUUAAUUUAAGAACUGUUUAGAGAAAUAAAAUAUCGGUCCUUCAAUAUAACUUCUAUUUUGAAAAGAAAGAGCAAUUAAUGUAGAUCUUGGCAUUUUGGGCAAAUAGAUAGGGUGCAAGUUUAGAAUAUUUUAAUUGUAGUUUUUUAUGGCAUCUUAAUAGGACGGAAGGUUUGUGUAUUUUAUUACCUCUUGGUAGGAAGGGAGAUUUUUGUGUUUUACGACCUUCUAAUUGGUCGAAAGAUUUGUGCGGUAAAGUUGUUAGCUUAAUGAUGAUUAAAUGUAAAUUAAGAUUAGAUGAAGG